UAGAGUUUGAUCCUGGCUCAGAAUGAACGCUGGCGGCGUGCCUAACACAUGCAAGUCGGACGCGAACGGGGCUUCGGCCCUCAGUAGAGUGGCGCACGGGUGAGUAACGCGUAGGUAAUCUCCCUCUGGAUUGGGGAUAACUCUGCGAAAGCGGAGCUAAUACCGAAUGGUCUGGCUUUAUUUCGAUGAAGUCGGUAAAGGAUGCCUCUGCAUAUGCAUCUGUCCAGAGAUGAGCCUGCGUCCCAUUAGCUAGUUGGUAGGGUAAAGGCCUACCAAGGCGACGAUGGGUAGCUGGUCUGAGAGGAUGAUCAGCCACACUGGAACUGGAACACGGUCCAGACUCCUACGGGAGGCAGCAGUGGGGAAUAUGGGCAAUGGGCGCAAGCCUGACCCAGCAACGCCGUGUGAGGGAUGAAGGCCUUCGGGUCGUAAACCUCUGUCAGAAGGGAAGAACGGGCAUAGUUCGAAUAGGGCUGUGCUUUGACGGUACCUUCAGAGGAAGCACCGGCUAACUCCGUGCCAGCAGCCGCGGUAAUACA
RNAcentral lists this ribosomal RNA (539 nucleotides) under Desulfomicrobiaceae bacterium 8bM. RNAcentral's name for it is "bacterial SSU rRNA". It matches the Rfam family "Bacterial small subunit ribosomal RNA", at positions 1 to 527 of the family's 1533-position model. The record is from RNAcentral. Lineage: Bacteria; Pseudomonadati; Thermodesulfobacteriota; Desulfovibrionia; Desulfovibrionales; Desulfomicrobiaceae.